CAGAAGGGCUCUUAGAGGUCUGCCCAGGCCUGGCAAAGAGAGGGAGGUCCCUGCCGGACUGUGUCUCAAGGCCAGGUCAGCUCCCAUUCCUGCCCACAGUCUCCAGGGACACGCUGGACUCUAGGGUGGAAGGCAAGAGCUGAAGAGGCAAAGAAACAUCUGGAGAGGGCUGAUGAUGUUCUGCUUCUGGACGUGUGUUUGGGUCAUGUGGGUCUUUGAGACGUCAAAGCUGGAUACUCAUGAUAAGGAAAUAGAGGCUCAGAGAAGUUCAGUGACUUGCCCAAGGUUACAAGGCCCAGAAGCAGCAGAACAAGGAUCCUAGUGCAGACGGAUGGAACCUCAACCACUGCACAUACAGCAUCUCAGGAAGCUCUGGAUAAAUGGCAGUUCCUGGUAUUAUGCUUGUGGAAGAAGUCAAUAAGAUGACCCUUAAAGUCUUAUGCAAAUCAGACACCCCAGAGCUCUAUGAGCUUCUUUCCCACCCAGCUUCCAGGGCUUCCCAGUGCCCAGGUAUGAAAGAGAAAGGGGAGAGAGAUGUGGAGAAUCACAGGGAGGAGGUGCUGAGCACUCAGCAGAGAAAGUGGAUGCCACUGAUGGUGAAGGGAAUGGUAGGUGGGCUCUGGCAACUACUGCAGCUGGUGACAAGCUGGAGAAAUGAAAAGGGAGGAGGAGACAGGUAGCUGAUGCUGGGAAAGAUUGAAGGCAGGAGGAGAAGGGGACGACAGA
Molecule: long non-coding RNA, 726 nt
Organism: Cervus elaphus (red deer)
Lineage: Eukaryota; Metazoa; Chordata; Mammalia; Artiodactyla; Cervidae
Exons: 3
Source: RefSeq, a predicted model, not a curated record